CACCCGUGUCAAAAGCCAUCACAAUAAAGAUGUUGCUGCUUGUUGCUGGUGCAUGAUUAGUAUAAUGAGAAAGAUUGACCUAACAGUGAAAUUAAGUGAAGUGUUUUUGUGAUUAACUUCAUACACAAGCUCGUAUCUUUAAGUGCAGUGGGUAAACAAAUGAGUGUGCAUUCCUUAAAUACAUCAUAGUGUACUUAAGGAAUACUGGAGGAUAAGGAUUUAAAGAUACUGGAUGGAAGUAAUAAGAAAAUAAAAUGUGUUUCAUUGAAAGAGGUUCUAUAGUUUUAUAUUAAGCAAAAUUAAUUCAGUAGUUAUAAGGAAGAAUGAGUCACAUCUCUAACGAAAAACAAACCUACUUAAAUCUGUGUAAUAUCGCAGAGUCUGAAUCAGAAAAAUGUACUGACUUCUUUAUGUGUUGCCAGAAUCAAGUGACAUAAAAAAGCCAAAAGGAAGUUUGCCCAUAUGGAGGGAUUAGAGGGUCCAAAAGGCCAAACCUUUAGAUUUACACUUUGUCUGUGAAACUGUUCUGCUGUAUUUCACACAAUGAUAGCGUAUUUCAUUGUGUCAGGAACAAUCAGGGGCUCAGCCAUGAGGUCUCCUAGGAUUUGACUCCUCCUUGCUGGGGUGUGAAACUCUCUCUGGGCUCGGCUCCACUGCUGGGCCAUCUUCAUGGGCCCGACCUCUCACGUGUCAGGCUGGGGUGCUGCCUCUUGCCUCCUUCCACACACCACUGUGAAGAGCCUGUGUCUCCUCUGUUCCCUCUGAUCAGUGCCCUGCUGAUGGGAGGGAAUGGAGGAGCUCAUGCCCUCCUUGGAUGCCCCUGACUCUAUCCCUCCUUUCACCUGAGCCAGCCCUCGGCCUGUAGCUGCUUCUUGCUGCAGUCUCCAGCCCCACGGUCUCAGUUACCUCCUUUCACUUCCCACCAUUUUGUUGAUCGUGUUUGUGUUAAGAGAUCCAAACUGUAGGCAGUAUGUAGAUAGGGUCUGACAAAAACAAAGUAGAGGAUGUAGUUCUGACCGUCCCCUGGCUCCCAGGACUGUGACCACCUUGCAAGAACUGGGAGCCUGAAAGGCAUUGUUGCUGCCUGGGCCCUGGCUCAGCUCAUAGCCUGCCCAGGCCAUUUUACAGCCCUAGCCUCUUGGCUGCAGGGAUCUGCCUUGCUGGAGCACUUCUUGGUAUUUGGCAUUUGUCCUCAUUUAUUUCAUGAGGCUGCUGUUAGCCUUUUCUUCCAGACUGCUGGGGUCCCUUCUGUAAGCCCGGCUUGCUGUGAAGUGUCAGAUGCUUCACUUCCCAGUUGACUGUUAUUUGCAGACUGCGUGAGUGUAUUUUGCCUCCUUUACCAAGUCACUGACAGAGAUCUUGAGAAAGACUUCAUGCUCUGAAAUUUUAAGUGUUAAUGUCAGUGCCUAUUUUAUUUUGAACCAGCCAUAACAAAAGUGGGUAGCCUUUUUUGGUACCUUUAGGCAAUAGUAGGUUCUGCGCUGGAGAUAUGAGAGAGCUAGUGUGAGAAUCUUCAAUCUGCUGAAGAGAUCCUUUGAAAACAGAGCAAAACCAAGUAGCAUGUAUAGCCUGAAAGAUGCUGUUAGCCUCCUGAAGAACAGAACUGCUACAUUUGUAGUUACAUUGACAUAGAAGCAUGUGCAGUGUUUUCUGUUUGCAUUUAUAAGGUACAAGAGGCUUUUUAGUGUGUUUGCAAAUAAAACAUUGAGAUUGUAUUCUGGAAAACUUUAUGAGCCAUUGCUUUAAUAUUUGUUAACAACAGAUUGGAUAAGAUUGAUAAGUUUUAACCAGAAGUGUAAUAAAUUUAAGCCAGCAGUGGAUUUGGAGUUGAGGAGUAAUGGUCAAAAAGGUUAAAAUAGAAAGCUUCCUUUUCAUUGCUAGUUUUCUGAGCCUUUUGAUUUUAGGUUUCUUGAGUUAACAAAAGCAAGAAUGUUGCCUAAGUGUGAGCAACAAAAUGUGUCAUGUUUUGAUCAAAUUCUUUCCCUGAAUAUAGGGAAUGACCAGUAUGGUCAUUCUUAAAAUGCAUGAUUUCAUUUCUUUUUUGUCUUCAGGAUGCUUCAGAGUGCAUGGCUUUUUCUUUUUCUCUUUCUCCAUUUCCCCAGUUUCUUUUCAAGAAAUUAAUACCUUCUCAUGACUGCAUCCCUUUGUGGACUUCCUGAUCUGAGAGUUUAUCUGAUCAGCUUGGCAGAAAUAACGUAAUAGCAUUCUCUCUUUUAGGGACUCUAGUCCCUAAAAGUUUCUCUGAAAGGCUUACAUCUCCUGGUGUUGAAAAGCCCAUUAUGCUUUAUGAAAUACUGGAAACAGGCUUUUUUGAAUUCUGUAGAAACCCUGAAAAGCUUCUGACUUUCCCUUCUAAGUGAGUCUGUUGUACAGAGGGCAUUAACUCAUUUGUAACUUCCAUGCUUUAGGCUGAGAAAAGCAUUUAAGGGUGAUCAAGUAUGUGAUGGGUUUUGCACUUAUACAAAUAAGUCCAGACAAUUAAUACUUCUAGCUUAUGGCUACAUUCAAGAAAGAAAUAACAGUAACAAGUUGCUGAAUUUUGAUAGGCAAAGAAUCUGACACAAUUAGGCUCAUGUCCUUCAAAAUGAAUGAGAUACCAUAUUAAUGUAAAACACUGAAUGAGCGUUGAGUAAAAUCCUUUAAAAUGGUGAACUGUUGCUUACAUGCUUUUAAAUAAUGGUCUAAAUUACUUGAUUUCUAUGCACCUUGAAAUCCAGGUCUGUUUCCUUUUCCUGCGUUUUUACAUGGGCUGACUGAUGUGAAUUACAAAACAUGAUUAUUUCUCAUUUCCAUAAACAUAUGCAUAUUACAAGUAGUAUGUCCUUCUGGAGGGAGAACUGUAGGCUCACCUGGUACUUGCGUGCUGCCAUAUUCAGUGUAGUUUUAUCUCUGUAUUUGUCUUUUGCUGCAGAUUCCUUUAAUUAUGUCUUGGAUGAUCCUAGCUCCCCAUUUCUGUUACACAUAUACCUUGUGGCAUCCCAAACGUGAACUAGUCAAGGUUAUUUGCUACAGCCACUGUCCUUCUGUCUUUCAGGCUGAGAGAAUUUUGUUACCCUUCUCCAUCCUUCAUGUCCAGUAAGGUGUGACUGGCUAUCCUGUAGCUCACUGACAUAGUAAGAGUAACACUGGGAUACCUCAGGUGAUUAAAAAUUCUGAACUCAACUGUAGUACAGUUUUGCCACUGUGGCACUUGAGUUAGGCAAACAGGACAUUUAGGGUAGUACCAAUCAUGUAGAUUAGCUCUGUAAAAUAUUUGUAUCUUAGCAUUUUAUUUGAUAUCACUAGAAUUGAAGCAUAAAUGUGCAGUCAGUCUUCAUUAUUGGGAGUUCACCAACUUGAUUUCUUUUCCAAGAGGCAGUUACAUUUUCAGGCCUUAGAAGAAGGAUUUGAUUUGGCUUCAGAGAUUCUCUAAUCAAGAAGGAUACCCUGGAUACAGGUGACUACUUUUAGUUGAUCCAUGUCUUACCAAGCAAGUUAUCAAGCUACUGGAAGUGAAAGAAC
Passer domesticus (house sparrow) is the source of this 3501-nucleotide long non-coding RNA. RefSeq lists it as uncharacterized. NCBI's taxonomy places the organism in Eukaryota, Metazoa, Chordata, Aves, Passeriformes, Passeridae. The record is from RefSeq and is a predicted model, not a curated record. The transcript is spliced from 2 exons.